UGUUGCAACAUGAAUGCGCGUGCUCGCUGUCGUUGUUGAACGGCCCUGAAAGCGCUGCGUUAGGGGCGAGUGCAACCGAACAUUACGGCAAGUUACGAUGGGAACUUCUUUCCGUGCUACGUGAUUGCGACGACAAGAACGGCCAGCAGUAGCGUGUCGCCGAUUUCGUCUUGGCCGACACCGAACAAGUAUAGCUCGCCGGACCGUGGCUAGCACCCGAAGUGUUGCGGUCUGCACUGCGUCGUCUUUCAUCGUGAUGUGAGAGAUCGUAACGCACAGAGACUGCCGGAUGCAUACGAAAGCCUACCAGCAGGGAGUGACAGUGCCAUUUUUCUAUUACCGUCUCAGGUAUUGAAGAAGCGGCAACAGCCACAGAAAGUAGCCAUCUUAUCCAGCACGUUAUGGGUAGAACUUGGCGGCUCCUGCUCCUGCCUUCCACCACCACCCUGUCCCGACUGCUUCCACUAGAGAGUUGGCAACCUUAGUGAUGAUGCCAAGCAGUCCGAUGGCAGACGGCAAGAUGCAGGUUGCUGCGAAAUUUUACCCGAGCUGGGCCACACACUUGAGCCAGGCCUCUUGGAAAGGAUGCCAUAAUCAGACUCCACG
Molecule: long non-coding RNA, 606 nt
Organism: Dermacentor silvarum
Lineage: Eukaryota; Metazoa; Arthropoda; Arachnida; Ixodida; Ixodidae
Exons: 4
Source: RefSeq, a predicted model, not a curated record